CUCGUAGCUCAGUUGGUAGAGCAGUUGACUCUUAAUCAAUUGGUCGGGGGUUCGAAUCCCCCCGGGU
This 67-nucleotide transfer RNA is filed under the name bovine gut metagenome. It matches the Rfam family "tRNA". From Rfam's summary of the family: Transfer RNA (tRNA) molecules are approximately 80 nucleotides in length. The record is from RNAcentral.